Molecule: ribosomal RNA, 493 nt
Filed under: uncultured bacterium
Lineage: Bacteria
Description: partial 16S ribosomal RNA
Rfam family: Bacterial small subunit ribosomal RNA
Source: RNAcentral
AUUGAACGCUGGCGGCAUGCUUUACACAUGCAAGUCGAACGGUAACAGGUUAAGCUGACGAGUGGCGAACGGGUGAGUAAUGCAUCGGAACGUGCCCGGUCGUGGGGGAUAACGCAGCGAAAGCUGCGCUAAUACCGCAUACGAUCUGAGGAUGAAAGCGGGGGACCGUAAGGCCUCGCGCGAUCGGAGCGGCCGAUGUCAGAUUAGGUAGUUGGUGGGGUAAAGGCCCACCAAGCCGACGAGCUGUAGCUGGUCUGAGAGGACGACCAGCCACACUGGGACUGAGACACGGCCCAGACUCCUACGGGAGGCAGCAGUGGGGAAUUUUGGACAAUGGGCGAAAGCCUGAUCCAGCAAUGCCGCGUGCAGGAAGAAGGCCUUCGGGUUGUAAACUGCUUUUGUACGGAGCGAAAAGGUCCUUUCUAAUACAAGGGGCUCAUGACGGUACCGUAAGAAUAAGCACCGGCUAACUACGUGCCAGCAGCCGCCGCCG